Molecule: long non-coding RNA, 1601 nt
Organism: Hylaeus volcanicus
Lineage: Eukaryota; Metazoa; Arthropoda; Insecta; Hymenoptera; Colletidae
Exons: 3
Source: RefSeq, a predicted model, not a curated record
UAAAGAAUCGUAAUAACGUUAGACAUGAUUAGUUUUGUCAACCAAACUCAGGGAAUAUUCCAGUUCGGACAUAGAAAGAAAAUAACCAACUCGAAAAGUGGCGUUCAAUUUCAAAGUAAAAUUUGCUCGAUAUGCGAUAAGAAUCUAGAAUAAUUUUGAAUAGACAUACGCUGCACGCUACCUGCAGUUUUCCAAACGAAUACGAGACCUGAGAAACUUCGAAAAUGUUAGUUGCCACGACAUCUGAGGAUACGAACAAUUUUUUUUUUUUUUUAACGGAAGGGAGCUUCUUUGCAAUCGUUAGCGCCCGUUUCUGCGAGAGUUAUGCGAAGAUCGUUACGGAGAUUGGGAAAAAAAGAGAACGACUCAGGAUAUGCGAGUUUACGAACGGGUAUACGUGCGUGAUACACACCGUAAUUUCUAAAUGCAAGAACAUCCUGUGUUCACACCAGCAACGCAACCUACGCGCGUCAGUCUACUACCUGAACCUACGUAAUCUAGGGACUGUAAAUAUAUCAGCUGUUAUCGUCGAACGUCGCCGAGAGCUAUGUUCCGCGUGUACUGGUUACAACGGCUCCCGUGUUAAUAUCAAACAGCGAAAAUUUAUUUCGCGCAUCAGCGUUAAUUGAUGAAAACCCCCUAUCAAGGACUGCCGCGUAUCGCCUGGGAAACGGUAGCAGUUCUGGCCCUACUGGAAAUGCAAAUUUCAUCAUCAAUGCGUGUACUCUUUGAUUAAUUAUAACAUCAUUAAAUUUUAAGCACCUAGGACGCGGCUGAACGGAUUCAUGUCGCGUUUGUAAUUCUCGAACAAGCCGAUUAAAUUGUUAUUUAGUGCAAUUAGUUCUGCUGGUGAAUCUCCGGAACAGCUAUUAUUUUCAAUCUAUGAUUACAUUCCAACGAUGCCAAGAGUAAAUGUUACUAAUAACGCGUGAUUACUUCGAAGUAAAUGGGACAUAAACGGAGGUCUAAUUUAAGUUUGAGUAACACCUACGUUCCCACGAUGCCAAGACAACUGUUUGCCAUUUUCGCCACACUCCGGACGCGCGAAUUGGCAAGCUCGAUCUUCGCUCCGUAAUUUGAGGAAAGAAGGUCAGAGAACCAUCGAUACCUAACCACAGCGACAUAUCAGCUCGACGAAAGAGCUGACCACGAGAUUGUGGUAAAUCGAAGGGUGAACUAAAACCAGACAAUGGAGCCAGGAUAUUUAUGCACUUGCAGGUACAAUGUUCCGGAAGGGAGCUGCAAAAAGUAACACGACAGAAUUCAAUAAGAAGAAAUUGUAAACUAUAAGAAUUGUGAACUAUAAGAAGACUAUAAAGAACUAUAAAGAACGUCAAACACAAUAGAAUGAACUCUUCAACUUUUCUUUUAUAACUAUUCCUUUAAAAAAAGGAAUCGAAGGCGUUCAAAGUAUUAACGUUCCAGCAAUUUCAUUCUGGUCCUCUUCAGAAAUAAUGCACAAAAUGUAUUAAAAAAACCAAUGCGAAACGGCAUAAAAGAUAAUAUAUAAAAACGUGAAUUUAUGUAUAGAAAUAUGUGCGGUAGAAAAUUGAUUAAAAUUACGAAGGUUAAUUUAAUUUUCAUGAAUUGAAGAGAGCCUA